UAGUACAUGGUGUGAUAGGUAGCACAGAGGAUUUUGGAUUCUUGGGGGUAGGUUCGAUUCUUAUAGUUCUAG
Non-coding RNA from Macaca mulatta (Rhesus monkey), 72 nucleotides. Lineage: Eukaryota; Metazoa; Chordata; Mammalia; Primates; Cercopithecidae. The record is from Rfam.